UAUGUGGUUGCAAUUUAGUGUGUGUGUGUGUGUGGGGUGUGUGUUGGUAUAUUUGUGUGCGUGUUAGAUUUUUGCAUAAUGUGAAAGUGUGAUGCAAGUUUUGUUGGUGUGCGAGUUUGGUUCAGAAAUCCCCUUCGAAGUUAAGAUUGUUUCUCUUGGAUGCCUGUUGAAUUACAAUUUUGUAAAUAUGUAGAUGUGUAUAAAAAGAAGGCUUUCAAAAUAAACUCUAAACAUC
This is a long non-coding RNA of Etheostoma spectabile (orangethroat darter), 235 nucleotides long. RefSeq lists it as uncharacterized. The transcript is spliced from 3 exons. The record is from RefSeq and is a predicted model, not a curated record. Lineage: Eukaryota; Metazoa; Chordata; Actinopteri; Perciformes; Percidae.